This 558-nucleotide ribosomal RNA is filed under the name Escherichia coli. RNAcentral describes it as "partial 23S ribosomal RNA". It matches the Rfam family "Bacterial large subunit ribosomal RNA", at positions 1 to 589 of the family's 2925-position model. The record is from RNAcentral. Lineage: Bacteria; Pseudomonadati; Pseudomonadota; Gammaproteobacteria; Enterobacterales; Enterobacteriaceae.
GGGUUGUGAGGUUAAGCGACUAAGCGUACACGGUGGAUGCCCUGGCAGUCAGAGGCGAUGAAGGACGUGCUAAUCUGCGAUAAGCGUCGGUAAGGUGAUAUGAACCGUUAUAACCGGCGAUUUCCGAAUGGGGAAACCCAGUGUGUUUCGACACACUAUCAUUAACUGAAUCCAUAGGUUAAUGAGGCGAACCGGGGGAACUGAAACAUCUAAGUACCCCGAGGAAAAGAAAUCAACCGAGAUUCCCCCAGUAGCGGCGAGCGAACGGGGAGCAGCCCAGAGCCUGAAUCAGUGUGUGUGUUAGUGGAAGCGUCUGGAAAGGCGCGCGAUACAGGGUGACAGCCCCGUACACAAAAAUGCACAUGCUGUGAGCUCGAUGAGUAGGGCGGGACACGUGGUAUCCUGUCUGAAUAUGGGGGGACCAUCCUCCAAGGCUAAAUACUCCUGACUGACCGAUAGUGAACCAGUACCGUGAGGGAAAGGCGAAAAGAACCCCAGCGAGGGGAGUGAAAAAGAACCUGAAACCGUGUACGUACAAGCAGUGGGAGCACGCUUAGG